Molecule: long non-coding RNA, 25649 nt
Filed under: Brassica rapa (field mustard)
Lineage: Eukaryota; Viridiplantae; Streptophyta; Magnoliopsida; Brassicales; Brassicaceae
Source: RNAcentral
UUUGACCCUCAAACGGGCUGCGGAAAGUUAUGGCACGUAAAAAAGAUCGAAAGCGGAUUCUCAAGGUGUUUUUGAUGCUUUCUUAACGCCGUUAACCUCGAUGCACUUUUUCGCUCGAAACAAAACGGCAAGAAAAUCAUGUGGGCCCCACGGCCUUACACUUGGAUUGGCCGCGAAAAGGAUAUAUAGAAACGAGAGUGAUGUACUGACGGGUGCGAUCAUACCAGCACUAAUGCACCGGAUCCCAUCAGAACUCCGCAGCUAAGCGUGCUUGGGCGAGAGUAGUACUAGGAUGGGUGACCUCCCGGGAAGUCCUCGUGUUGCACCCCUUUUAUUUUUUAAUUUUUUUUAGCCUAAAACGAGUCUAAACUUGAAAACCCCAUAACUUUUGAACCGUGAGAAACUACGUCGCCCAUAGCACCAUUUCGGAAAGCCCCAGAAACCAUAAUGGGCGGUGAAUAGGGGGCGCAAUUUUUCGGGCUCAAAUUCAGCCGUUUUGACCCUCAAACGGGCUGCGGAAAGUUAUGGCACGUAAAAAAGAUCGAAAGCGGAUUCUCAAGGUGUUUUGAUGCUUUCUUAACGCCGUUAACCUCGAUGCACUUUUUCGCUCGAAACAAAACGGCAAGAAAAUCAUGCGCGGCCCCACGGCCUUACACUUGGAUUGGCCGCGAAAAGGAUAUAUAGAAACGAGAGUGAUGUACUGACGGGUGCGAUCAUACCAGCACUAAUGCACCGGAUCCCAUCAGAACUCCGCAGUUAAGCGUGCUUGGGCGAGAGUAGUACUAGGAUGGGUGACCUCCCGGGAAGUCCUCGUGUUGCACCCCUUUUUAUUUUUAAUUUUUUUUUAGCCUAAAACGAGUCUAAACUUGAAAACCUCAUAACUUUUGAACCGUGAGGAACUACGUCGCCCAUAGCACCAUUUCGGAAAGCCCCAGAAACCAUAAUGGGCGGUGAAUAGGGGGCGCAAUUUUUCGGGCUCAAAUUCAGCCGUUUUGACCCUCAAACGGGCUGCGGAAAGUUAUGGCACGUAAAAAAGAUCGAAAGCGGAUUCUCAAGGUGUUUUUGAUGCUUUCUUAACGCCGUUAACCUCGAUGCACUUUUUCGCUCGAAACAAAACGGCAAGAAAAUCAUGCGCGCCCCACGGCCUUACACUUGGAUUGGCCGCGAAAAGGAUAUAUAGAAACGAGAGUGAUGUACUGACGGGUGCGAUCAUACCAGCACUAAUGCACCGGAUCCCAUCAGAACUCCGCAGUUAAGCGUGCUUGGGCGAGAGUAGUACUAGGAUGGGUGACCUCCCGGGAAGUCCUCGUGUUGCACCCCUUUUAUUUUUAAUUUUUUUUUAGCCUAAAACGAGUCUAAACUUGAAAACCUCAUAACUUUUGAACCGUGAGGAACUACGUCGCCCAUAGCACCAUUUCGGAAAGCCCCAGAAACCAUAAUGGGCGGUGAAUAGGGGGCGCAAUUUUUCGGGCUCAAAUUCAGCCGUUUUGACCCUCAAACGGGCUGCGGAAAGUUAUGGCACGUAAAAAAGAUCGAAAGCGGAUUCUCAAGGUGUUUUUGAUGCUUUCUUAACGCCGUUAACCUCGAUGCACUUUUUCGCUCGAAACAAAACGGCAAGAAAAUCAUGUGCGGCCCACGGCCUUACACUUGGAUUGGCCGCGAAAAGGAUAUAUAGAAACGAGAGUGAUGUACUGACGGGUGCGAUCAUACCAGCACUAAUGCACCGGAUCCCAUCAGAACUCCGCAGUGAAGCGUGCUUGGGCGAGAGUAGUACUAGGAUGGGUGACCUCCCGGGAAGUCCUCGUGUUGCACCCCUUUUUAUUUUUAUUUUUUUUUUAGCCUAAAACGAGUCUAAACUUGAAAACCUCAUAACUUUUGAACCGUGAGGAACUACGUCGCCCAUAGCACCAUUUCGGAAAGCCCCAGAAACCAUAAUGGGCGGUGAAUAGGGGGCGCAAUUUUUCGGGCUCAAAUUCAGCCGUUUUGACCCUCAAACGGGCUGCGGAAAGUUAUGGCACGUAAAAAAGAUCGAAAGCGGAUUCUCAAGGUGUUUUUGAUGCUUUCUUAACGCCGUUAACCUCGAUGCACUUUUUCGCUCGAAACAAAACGGCAAGAAAAUCAUGUGGGCCCCACGGCCUUACACUUGGAUUGGCCGGGGAAAGGAUAUAUAGAAACGAGAGUGAUGUACUGACGGGUGCGAUCAUACCAGCACUAAUGCACCGGAUCCCAUCAGAACUCCGCAGUGAAGCGUGCUUGGGCGAGAGUAGUACUAGGAUGGGUGACCUCCCGGGAAGUCCUCGUGUUGCACCCCUUUUUAUUUUAUAAUUUUUUUUUAGCCUAAAACGAGUCUAAACUUGAAAACCUCAUAACUUUUGAACCGUGAGGAACUACGUCGCCCAUAGCACCAUUGAGAAAGCCCCAGAAACCAUAAUGGGCGGUGAAUAGGGGGCGCAAUUUUUCGGGCUCAAAUUCAGCCGUUUUGACCCUCAAACGGGCUGCGGAAAGUUAUGGCACGUAAAAAAGAUCGAAAGCGGAUUCUCAAGGUGUUUUUGAUGCUUUCUUAACGCCGUUAACCUCGAUGCACUUUUUCGCUCGAAACAAAACGGCAAGAAAAUCAUGCGCGCCCCACGGCCUUACACUUGGAUUGGCCGCGAAAAGGAUAUAUAGAAACGAGAGUGAUGUACUGACGGGUGCGAUCAUACCAGCACUAAUGCACCGGAUCCCAUCAGAACUCCGCAGUUAAGCGUGCUUGGGCGAGAGUAGUAGUACUAGGAUGGGUGACCUCCCGGGAAGUCCUCGUGUUGCACCCCUUUUUAUUUUUUAAUUUUUUUUUAGCCUAAAACGAGUCUAAACUUGAAAACCUCAUAACUUUUGAACCGUGAGGAACUACGUCGCCCAUAGCACCAUUUCGGAAAGCCCCAGAAACCAUAAUGGGCGGUGAAUAGGGGGCGCAAUUUUUCGGGCUCAAAUUCAGCCGUUUUGACCCUCAAACGGGCUGCGGAAAGUUAUGGCACGUAAAAAAGAUCGAAAGCGGAUUCUCAAGGUGUUUUUGAUGCUUUCUUAACGCCGUUAACCUCGAUGCACUUUUUCGCUCGAAACAAAACGGCAAGAAAAUCAUGCGCGCCCACGGCCUUACACUUGGAUUGGCCGCGAAAAGGAUAUAUAGAAACGAGAGUGAUGUACUGACGGGUGCGAUCAUACCAGCACUAAUGCACCGGAUCCCAUCAGAACUCCGCAGCUAAGCGUGCUUGGGCGAGAGUAGUACUAGGAUGGGUGACCUCCCGGGAAGUCCUCGUGUUGCACCCCUUUUAUUUUUUAAUUUUUUUUUAGCCUAAAACGAGUCUAAACUUGAAAACCCCAUAACUUUUGAACCGUGAGGAACUACGUCGCCCAUAGCACCAUUUCGGAAAGCCCCAGAAACCAUAAUGGGCGGUGAAUAGGGGGCGCAAUUUUUCGGGCUCAAAUUCAGCCGUUUUGACCCUCAAACGGGCUGCGGAAAGUUAUGGCACGUAAAAAAGAUCGAAAGCGGAUUCUCAAGGUGUUUUUGAUGCUUUCUUAACGCCGUUAACCUCGAUGCACUUUUUCGCUCGAAACAAAACGGCAAGAAAAUCAUGCGCGCCCCACGGCCUUACACUUGGAUUGGCCGCGAAAAGGAUAUAUAGAAACGAGAGUGAUGUACUGACGGGUGCGAUCAUACCAGCACUAAUGCACCGGAUCCCAUCAGAACUCCGCAGUUAAGCGUGCUUGGGCGAGAGUAGUACUAGGAUGGGUGACCUCCCGGGAAGUCCUCGUGUUGCACCCCUUUUUAUUUUUUAAUUUUUUUUUAGCCUAAAACGAGUCUAAACUUGAAAACCUCAUAACUUUUGAACCGUGAGGAACUACGUCGCCCAUAGCACCAUUUCGGAGAGCCCCAGAAACCAUAAUGGGCGGUGAAUAGGGGGGGCGCAAUUUUUCGGGCUCAAAUUCAGCCGUUUUGACCCUCAAACGGGCUGCGGAAAGUUAUGGCACGUAAAAAAGAUCGAAAGCGGAUUCUCAAGGUGUUUUUGAUGCUUUCUUAACGCCGUUAACCUCGAUGCACUUUUUCGCUCGAAACAAAACGGCAAGAAAAUCAUGCGCGCCCCACGGCCUUACACUUGGAUUGGCCGCGAAAAGGAUAUAUAGAAACGAGAGUGAUGUACUGACGGGUGCGAUCAUACCAGCACUAAUGCACCGGAUCCCAUCAGAACUCCGCAGUUAAGCGUGCUUGGGCGAGAGUAGUACUAGGAUGGGUGACCUCCCGGGAAGUCCUCGUGUUGCACCCCUUUUUAUUUUUAAUUUUUUUUUAGCCUAAAACGAGUCUAAACUUGAAAACCUCAUAACUUUUGAACCGUGAGGAACUACGUCGCCCAUAGCACCAUUUCGGAGAGCCCCAGAAACCAUAAUGGGCGGUGAAUAGGGGGCGCAAUUUUUCGGGCUCAAAUUCAGCCGUUUUGACCCUCAAACGGGCUGCGGAAAGUUAUGGCACGUAAAAAAGAUCGAAAGCGGAUUCUCAAGGUGUUUUUGAUGCUUUCUUAACGCCGUUAACCUCGAUGCACUUUUUCGCUCGAAACAAAACGGCAAGAAAAUCAUGCGCGCCCCACGGCCUUACACUUGGAUUGGCCGCGAAAAGGAUAUAUAGAAACGAGAGUGAUGUACUGACGGGUGCGAUCAUACCAGCACUAAUGCACCGGAUCCCAUCAGAACUCCGCAGUUAAGCGUGCUUGGGCGAGAGUAGUACUAGGAUGGGUGACCUCCCGGGAAGUCCUCGUGUUGCACCCCUUUUUAUUUUUUAAUUUUUUUUAGCCUAAAACGAGUCUAAACUUGAAAACCUCAUAACUUUUGAACCGUGAGGAACUACGUCGCCCAUAGCACCAUUUCGGAGAGCCCCAGAAACCAUAAUGGGCGGUGAAUAGGGGGCGCAAUUUUUCGGGCUCAAAUUCAGCCGUUUUGACCCUCAAACGGGCUGCGGAAAGUUAUGGCACGUAAAAAAGAUCGAAAGCGGAUUCUCAAGGUGUUUUUGAUGCUUUCUUAACGCCGUUAACCUCGAUGCACUUUUUCGCUCGAAACAAAACGGCAAGAAAAUCAUGCGCGCCCCACGGCCUUACACUUGGAUUGGCCGCGAAAAGGAUAUAUAGAAACGAGAGUGAUGUACUGACGGGUGCGAUCAUACCAGCACUAAUGCACCGGAUCCCAUCAGAACUCCGCAGUUAAGCGUGCUUGGGCGAGAGUAGUACUAGGAUGGGUGACCUCCGGGAAGUCCUCGUGUUGCACCCCUUUUUAUUUUUUAAUUUUUUUUAGCCUAAAACGAGUCUAAACUUGAAAACCUCAUAACUUUUGAACCGUGAGGAACUACGUCGCCCAUAGCACCAUUUCGGAGAGCCCCAGAAACCAUAAUGGGCGGUGAAUAGGGGGCGCAAUUUUUCGGGCUCAAAUUCAGCCGUUUUGACCCUCAAACGGGCUGCGGAAAGUUAUGGCACGUAAAAAAGAUCGAAAGCGGAUUCUCAAGGUGUUUUUGAUGCUUUCUUAACGCCGUUAACCUCGAUGCACUUUUUCGCUCGAAACAAAACGGCAAGAAAAUCAUGCGCGCCCCACGGCCUUACACUUGGAUUGGCCGCGAAAAGGAUAUAUAGAAACGAGAGUGAUGUACUGACGGGUGCGAUCAUACCAGCACUAAUGCACCGGAUCCCAUCAGAACUCCGCAGUUAAGCGUGCUUGGGCGAGAGUAGUACUAGGAUGGGUGACCUCCCGGGAAGUCCUCGUGUUGCACCCCUUUUUAUUUUUUAAUUUUUUUUUGCCUAAAACGAGUCUAAACUUGAAAACCUCAUAACUUUUGAACCGUGAGGAACUACGUCGCCCAUAGCACCAUUUCGGAGAGCCCCAGAAACCAUAAUGGGCGGUGAAUAGGGGGCGCAAUUUUUCGGGCUCAAAUUCAGCCGUUUUGACCCUCAAACGGGCUGCGGAAAGUUAUGGCACGUAAAAAAGAUCGAAAGCGGAUUCUCAAGGUGUUUUUGAUGCUUUCUUAACGCCGUUAACCUCGAUGCACUUUUUCGCUCGAAACAAAACGGCAAGAAAAUCAUGCGCGCCCCACGGCCUUACACUUGGAUUGGCCGCGAAAAGGAUAUAUAGAAACGAGAGUGAUGUACUGACGGGUGCGAUCAUACCAGCACUAAUGCACCGGAUCCCAUCAGAACUCCGCAGUUAAGCGUGCUUGGGCGAGAGUAGUACUAGGAUGGGUGACCUCCCGGGAAGUCCUCGUGUUGCACCCCUUUUUAUUUUUUAAUUUUUUUUUAGCCUAAAACGAGUCUAAACUUGAAAACCUCAUAACUUUUGAACCGUGAGGAACUACGUCGCCCAUAGCACCAUUUCGGAAAGCCCCAGAAACCAUAAUGGGCGGUGAAUAGGGGGCGCAAUUUUUCGGGCUCAAAUUCAGCCCGUUUUGACCCUCAAACGGGCUGCGGAAAGUUAUGGCACGUAAAAAAGAUCGAAAGCGGAUUCUCAAGGUGUUUUUGAUGCUUUCUUAACGCCGUUAACCUCGAUGCACUUUUUCGCUCGAAACAAAACGGCAAGAAAAUCAUGCGCGCCCCACGGCCUUACACUUGGAUUGGCCGCGAAAAGGAUAUAUAGAAACGAGAGUGAUGUACUGACGGGUGCGAUCAUACCAGCACUAAUGCACCGGAUCCCAUCAGAACUCCGCAGUUAAGCGUGCUUGGGCGAGAGUAGUACUAGGAUGGGUGACCUCCCGGGAAGUCCUCGUGUUGCACCCCUUUUUAUUUUUUAAUUUUUUUUAGCCUAAAACGAGUCUAAACUUGAAAACCUCAUAACUUUUGAACCGUGAGGAACUACGUCGCCCAUAGCACCAUUUCGGAGCCCCAGAAACCAUAAUGGGCGGGUGAAUAGGGGGCGCAAUUUUUCGGGCUCAAAUUCAGCCGUUUUGACCCUCAAACGGGCUGCGGAAAGUUAUGGCACGUAAAAAAGAUCGAAAGCGGAUUCUCAAGGUGUUUUUGAUGCUUUCUUAACGCCGUUAACCUCGAUGCACUUUUUCGCUCGAAACAAAACGGCAAGAAAAUCAUGCGCGCCCCACGGCCUUACACUUGGAUUGGCCGCGAAAAGGAUAUAUAGAAACGAGAGUGAUGUACUGACGGGUGCGAUCAUACCAGCACUAAUGCACCGGAUCCCAUCAGAACUCCGCAGUUAAGCGUGCUUGGGCGAGAGUAGUACUAGGAUGGGUGACCUCCCGGGAAGUCCUCGUGUUGCACCCCUUUUUAUUUUUUAAUUUUUUUUUAGCCUAAAACGAGUCUAAACUUGAAAACCUCAUAACUUUUGAACCGUGAGGAACUACGUCGCCCAUAGCACCAUUUCGGAGAGCCCCAGAAACCAUAAUGGGCGGUGAAUAGGGGGCGCAAUUUUUCGGGCUCAAAUUCAGCCGUUUUGACCCUCAAACGGGCUGCGGAAAGUUAUGGCACGUAAAAAAGAUCGAAAGCGGAUUCUCAAGGUGUUUUUGAUGCUUUCUUAACGCCGUUAACCUCGAUGCACUUUUUCGCUCGAAACAAAACGGCAAGAAAAUCAUGCGCGCCCCACGGCCUUACACUUGGAUUGGCCGCGAAAAGGAUAUAUAGAAACGAGAGUGAUGUACUGACGGGUGCGAUCAUACCAGCACUAAUGCACCGGAUCCCAUCAGAACUCCGCAGUUAAGCGUGCUUGGGCGAGAGUAGUACUAGGAUGGGUGACCUCCCGGGAAGUCCUCGUGUUGCACCCCUUUUUAUUUUUUAAUUUUUUUUUAGCCUAAAACGAGUCUAAACUUGAAAACCUCAUAACUUUUGAACCGUGAGGAACUACGUCGCCCAUAGCACCAUUUCGGAGAGCCCCAGAAACCAUAAUGGGCGGUGAAUAGGGGGCGCAAUUUUUCGGGCUCAAAUUCAGCCGUUUUGACCCUCAAACGGGCUGCGGAAAGUUAUGGCACGUAAAAAAGAUCGAAAGCGGAUUCUCAAGGUGUUUUUGAUGCUUUCUUAACGCCGUUAACCUCGAUGCACUUUUUCGCUCGAAACAAAACGGCAAGAAAAUCAUGCGCGCCCCACGGCCUUACACUUGGAUUGGCCGCGAAAAGGAUAUAUAGAAACGAGAGUGAUGUACUGACGGGUGCGAUCAUACCAGCACUAAUGCACCGGAUCCCAUCAGAACUCCGCAGUUAAGCGUGCUUGGGCGAGAGUAGUACUAGGAUGGGUGACCUCCCGGGAAGUCCUCGUGUUGCACCCCUUUUUUAUUUUUUAAUUUUUUUUAGCCUAAAACGAGUCUAAACUUGAAAACCUCAUAACUUUUGAACCGUGAGGAACUACGUCGCCCAUAGCACCAUUUCGGAAAGCCCCAGAAACCAUAAUGGGCGGUGAAUAGGGGGCGCAAUUUUUCGGGCUCAAAUUCAGCCGUUUUGACCCUCAAACGGGCUGCGGAAAGUUAUGGCACGUAAAAAAGAUCGAAAGCGGAUUCUCAAGGUGUUUUUGAUGCUUUCUUAACGCCGUUAACCUCGAUGCACUUUUUCGCUCGAAACAAAACGGCAAGAAAAUCAUGCGCGCCCCACGGCCUUACACUUGGAUUGGCCGCGAAAAGGAUAUAUAGAAACGAGAGUGAUGUACUGACGGGUGCGAUCAUACCAGCACUAAUGCACCGGAUCCCAUCAGAACUCCGCAGUUAAGCGUGCUUGGGCGAGAGUAGUACUAGGAUGGGUGACCUCCCGGGAAGUCCUCGUGUUGCACCCCUUUUUUUUUUUAAUUUUUUUUUAGCCUAAAACGAGUCUAAACUUGAAAACCUCAUAACUUUUGAACCGUGAGGAACUACGUCGCCCAUAGCACCAUUUCGGAGAGCCCCAGAAACCAUAAUGGGCGGUGAAUAGGGGGCGCAAUUUUUCGGGCUCAAAUUCAGCCGUUUUGACCCUCAAACGGGCUGCGGAAAGUUAUGGCACGUAAAAAAGAUCGAAAGCGGAUUCUCAAGGUGUUUUGAUGCUUUCUUAACGCCGUUAACCUCGAUGCACUUUUUCGCUCGAAACAAAACGGCAAGAAAAUCAUGUGGGCCCCACGGCCUUACACUUGGAUUGGCCGCGAAAAGGAUAUAUAGAAACGAGAGUGAUGUACUGACGGGUGCGAUCAUACCAGCACUAAUGCACCGGAUCCCAUCAGAACUCCGCAGUUAAGCGUGCUUGGGCGAGAGUAGUACUAGGAUGGGUGACCUCCCGGGAAGUCCUCGUGUUGCACCCCUUUUUAUUUUUUAAUUUUUUUUUAGCCUAAAACGAGUCUAAACUUGAAAACCUCAUAACUUUUGAACCGUGAGGAACUACGUCGCCCAUAGCACCAUUUCGGAGAGCCCCAGAAACCAUAAUGGGGCGGUGAAUAGGGGGCGCAAUUUUUCGGGCUCAAAUUCAGCCGUUUUGACCCUCAAACGGGCUGCGGAAAGUUAUGGCACGUAAAAAAGAUCGAAAGCGGAUUCUCAAGGUGUUUUUGAUGCUUUCUUAACGCCGUUAACCUCGAUGCACUUUUUCGCUCGAAACAAAACGGCAAGAAAAUCAUGCGCGCCCCACGGCCUUACACUUGGAUUGGCCGCGAAAAGGAUAUAUAGAAACGAGAGUGAUGUACUGACGGGUGCGAUCAUACCAGCACUAAUGCACCGGAUCCCAUCAGAACUCCGCAGUUAAGCGUGCUUGGGCGAGAGUAGUACUAGGAUGGGUGACCUCCCGGGAAGUCCUCGUGUUGCACCCCUUUUUAUUUUUUAUUUUUUUUUUAGCCUAAAACGAGUCUAAACUUGAAAACCUCAUAACUUUUGAACCGUGAGGAACUACGUCGCCCAUAGCACCAUUUCGGAAGAGCCCCAGAAACCAUAAUGGGCGGUGAAUAGGGGGCGCAAUUUUUCGGGCUCAAAUUCAGCCGUUUUGACCCUCAAACGGGCUGCGGAAAGUUAUGGCACGUAAAAAAGAUCGAAAGCGGAUUCUCAAGGUGUUUUUGAUGCUUUCUUAACGCCGUUAACCUCGAUGCACUUUUUCGCUCGAAACAAAACGGCAAGAAAAUCAUGCGCGCCCCACGGCCUUACACUUGGAUUGGCCGCGAAAAGGAUAUAUAGAAACGAGAGUGAUGUACUGACGGGUGCGAUCAUACCAGCACUAAUGCACCGGAUCCCAUCAGAACUCCGCAGCUAAGCGUGCUUGGGCGAGAGUAGUACUAGGAUGGGUGACCUCCCGGGAAGUCCUCGUGUUGCACCCCUUUUUAUUUUUUAAUUUUUUUUUUUGCCUAAAACGAGUCUAAACUUGAAAACCUCAUAACUUUUGAACCGUGAGGAACUACGUCGCCCAUAGCACCAUUUCGGAGAGCCCCAGAAACCAUAAUGGGCGGUGAAUAGGGGGCGCAAUUUUUCGGGCUCAAAUUCAGCCGUUUUGACCCUCAAACGGGCUGCGGAAAGUUAUGGCACGUAAAAAAGAUCGAAAGCGGAUUCUCAAGGUGUUUUUGAUGCUUUCUUAACGCCGUUAACCUCGAUGCACUUUUUCGCUCGAAACAAAACGGCAAGAAAAUCAUGCGCGCCCCACGGCCUUACACUUGGAUUGGCCGCGAAAAGGAUAUAUAGAAACGAGAGUGAUGUACUGACGGGUGCGAUCAUACCAGCACUAAUGCACCGGAUCCCAUCAGAACUCCGCAGUUAAGCGUGCUUGGGCGAGAGUAGUACUAGGAUGGGUGACCUCCCGGGAAGUCCUCGUGUUGCACCCCUUUUUAUUUUUUAAUUUUUUUUUAGCCUAAAACGAGUCUAAACUUGAAAACCUCAUAACUUUUGAACCGUGAGGAACUACGUCGCCCAUAGCACCAUUUCGGAGAGCCCCAGAAACCAUAAUGGGCGGUGAAUAGGGGGCGCAAUUUUUCGGGCUCAAAUUCAGCCGUUUUGACCCUCAAACGGGCUGCGGAAAGUUAUGGCACGUAAAAAAGAUCGAAAGCGGAUUCUCAAGGUGUUUUUGAUGCUUUCUUAACGCCGUUAACCUCGAUGCACUUUUUCGCUCGAAACAAAACGGCAAGAAAAUCAUGCGCGCCCCACGGCCUUACACUUGGAUUGGCCGCGAAAAGGAUAUAUAGAAACGAGAGUGAUGUACUGACGGGUGCGAUCAUACCAGCACUAAUGCACCGGAUCCCAUCAGAACUCCGCAGUUAAGCGUGCUUGGGCGAGAGUAGUACUAGGAUGGGUGACCUCCCGGGAAGUCCUCGUGUUGCACCCCUUUUUAUUUUUUAAUUUUUUUUAGCCUAAAACGAGUCUAAACUUGAAAACCUCAUAACUUUUGAACCGUGAGGAACUACGUCGCCCAUAGCACCAUUUCGGAGAGCCCCAGAAACCAUAAUGGGCGGUGAAUAGGGGGCGCAAUUUUUCGGGCUCAAAUUCAGCCGUUUUGACCCUCAAACGGGCUGCGGAAAGUUAUGGCACGUAAAAAAGAUCGAAAGCGGAUUCUCAAGGUGUUUUUGAUGCUUUCUUAACGCCGUUAACCUCGAUGCACUUUUUCGCUCGAAACAAAACGGCAAGAAAAUCAUGCGCGCCCACGGCCUUACACUUGGAUUGGCCGCGAAAAGGAUAUAUAGAAACGAGAGUGAUGUACUGACGGGUGCGAUCAUACCAGCACUAAUGCACCGGAUCCCAUCAGAACUCCGCAGUAAGCGUGCUUGGGCGAGAGUAGUACUAGGAUGGGUGACCUCCCGGGAAGUCCUCGUGUUGCACCCCUUUUUAUUUUUUAAUUUUUUUUUAGCCUAAAACGAGUCUAAACUUGAAAACCUCAUAACUUUUGAACCGUGAGGAACUACGUCGCCCAUAGCACCAUUUCGGAGAGCCCCAGAAACCAUAAUGGGCGGUGAAUAGGGGGCGCAAUUUUUCGGGCUCAAAUUCAGCCGUUUUGACCCUCAAACGGGCUGCGGAAAGUUAUGGCACGUAAAAAAGAUCGAAAGCGGAUUCUCAAGGUGUUUUUGAUGCUUUCUUAACGCCGUUAACCUCGAUGCACUUUUUCGCUCGAAACAAAACGGCAAGAAAAUCAUGCGCGCCCCACGGCCUUACACUUGGAUUGGCCGCGAAAAGGAUAUAUAGAAACGAGAGUGAUGUACUGACGGGUGCGAUCAUACCAGCACUAAUGCACCGGAUCCCAUCAGAACUCCGCAGUUAAGCGUGCUUGGGCGAGAGUAGUACUAGGAUGGGUGACCUCCCGGGAAGUCCUCGUGUUGCACCCCUUUUUAUUUUUAAUUUUUUUUUAGCCUAAAACGAGUCUAAACUUGAAAACCUCAUAACUUUUGAACCGUGAGGAACUACGUCGCCCAUAGCACCAUUUCGGAAAGCCCCAGAAACCAUAAUGGGCGGUGAAUAGGGGGCGCAAUUUUUCGGGCUCAAAUUCAGCCGUUUUGACCCUCAAACGGGCUGCGGAAAGUUAUGGCACGUAAAAAAGAUCGAAAGCGGAUUCUCAAGGUGUUUUUGAUGCUUUCUUAACGCCGUUAACCUCGAUGCACUUUUUCGCUCGAAACAAAACGGCAAGAAAAUCAUGCGCGCCCCACGGCCUUACACUUGGAUUGGCCGCGAAAAGGAUAUAUAGAAACGAGAGUGAUGUACUGACGGGUGCGAUCAUACCAGCACUAAUGCACCGGAUCCCAUCAGAACUCCGCAGUUAAGCGUGCUUGGCGCGAGAGUAGUACUAGGAUGGGUGACCUCCCGGGAAGUCCUCGUGUUGCACCCCUUUUUAUUUUUUAAUUUUUUUUUGCCUAAAACGAGUCUAAACUUGAAAACCUCAUAACUUUUGAACCGUGAGGAACUACGUCGCCCAUAGCACCAUUUCGGAGAGCCCCAGAAACCAUAAUGGGCGGUGAAUAGGGGGCGCAAUUUUUCGGGCUCAAAUUCAGCCGUUUUGACCCUCAAACGGGCUGCGGAAAGUUAUGGCACGUAAAAAAGAUCGAAAGCGGAUUCUCAAGGUGUUUUUGAUGCUUUCUUAACGCCGUUAACCUCGAUGCACUUUUUCGCUCGAAACAAAACGGCAAGAAAAUCAUGCGCGCCCACGGCCUUACACUUGGAUUGGCCGCGAAAAGGAUAUAUAGAAACGAGAGUGAUGUACUGACGGGUGCGAUCAUACCAGCACUAAUGCACCGGAUCCCAUCAGAACUCCGCAGUUAAGCGUGCUUGGGCGAGAGUAGUACUAGGAUGGGUGACCUCCCGGGAAGUCCUCGUGUUGCACCCCUUUUAUUUUUUAAUUUUUUUUUGCCUAAAACGAGUCUAAACUUGAAAACCUCAUAACUUUUGAACCGUGAGGAACUACGUCGCCCAUAGCACCAUUUCGGAGAGCCCCAGAAACCAUAAUGGGCGGGUGAAUAGGGGGCGCAAUUUUUCGGGCUCAAAUUCAGCCGUUUUGACCCUCAAACGGGCUGCGGAAAGUUAUGGCACGUAAAAAAGAUCGAAAGCGGAUUCUCAAGGUGUUUUUGAUGCUUUCUUAACGCCGUUAACCUCGAUGCACUUUUUCGCUCGAAACAAAACGGCAAGAAAAUCAUGCGCGCCCCACGGCCUUACACUUGGAUUGGCCGCGAAAAGGAUAUAUAGAAACGAGAGUGAUGUACUGACGGGUGCGAUCAUACCAGCACUAAUGCACCGGAUCCCAUCAGAACUCCGCAGUUAAGCGUGCUUGGGCGAGAGUAGUACUAGGAUGGGUGACCUCCCGGGAAGUCCUCGUGUUGCACCCCUUUUUUUUUAAAUUUUUUUUUAGCCUAAAACGAGUCUAAACUUGAAAACCUCAUAACUUUUGAACCGUGAGGAACUACGUCGCCCAUAGCACCAUUUCGGAGAGCCCCAGAAACCAUAAUGGGCGGGGAAUAGGGGGCGCAAUUUUUCGGGCUCAAAUUCAGCCGUUUUGACCCUCAAACGGGCUGCGGAAAGUUAUGUCACGUAAAAAAGAUCGAAAGCGGAUUCUCAAGGUGUUUUUGAUGCUUUCUUAACGCCGUUAACCUCGAUGCACUUUUUCGCUCGAAACAAAACGGCAAGAAAAUCAUGCGCGCCCCACGGCCUUACACUUGGAUUGGCCGCGAAAAGGAUAUAUAGAAACGAGAGUGAUGUACUGACGGGUGCGAUCAUACCAGCACUAAUGCACCGGAUCCCAUCAGAACUCCGCAGUUAAGCGUGCUUGGGCGAGAGUAGUACUAGGAUGGGUGACCUCCCGGGAAGUCCUCGUGUUGCACCCCUUUUUAUUUUUUAAUUUUUUUUUGCCUAAAACGAGUCUAAACUUGAAAACCUCAUAACUUUUGAACCGUGAGGAACUACGUCGCCCAUAGCACCAUUUCGGAGAGCCCCAGAAACCAUAAUGGGCGGUGAAUAGGGGGCGCAAUUUUUCGGGCUCAAAUUCAGCCGUUUUGACCCUCAAACGGGCUGCGGAAAGUUAUGGCACGUAAAAAAGAUCGAAAGCGGAUUCUCAAGGUGUUUUUGAUGCUUUCUUAACGCCGUUAACCUCGAUGCACUUUUUCGCUCGAAACAAAACGGCAAGAAAAUCAUGCGCGCCCCACGGCCUUACACUUGGAUUGGCCGCGAAAAGGAUAUAUAGAAACGAGAGUGAUGUACUGACGGGUGCGAUCAUACCAGCACUAAUGCACCGGAUCCCAUCAGAACUCCGCAGUUAAGCGUGCUUGGGCGAGAGUAGUACUAGGAUGGGUGACCUCCCGGGAAGUCCUCGUGUUGCACCCCUUUUUUUUUUUAAUUUUUUUUUAGCCUAAAACGAGUCUAAACUUGAAAACCUCAUAACUUUUGAACCGUGAGGAACUACGUCGCCCAUAGCACCAUUUCGGAGAGCCCCAGAAACCAUAAUGGGCGGUGAAUAGGGGGCGCAAUUUUUCGGGCUCAAAUUCAGCCGUUUUGACCCUCAAACGGGCUGCGGAAAGUUAUGGCACGUAAAAAAGAUCGAAAGCGGAUUCUCAAGGUGUUUUUGAUGCUUUCUUAACGCCGUUAACCUCGAUGCACUUUUUCGCUCGAAACAAAACGGCAAGAAAAUCAUGCGCGCCCCACGGCCUUACACUUGGAUUGGCCGCGAAAAGGAUAUAUAGAAACGAGAGUGAUGUACUGACGGGUGCGAUCAUACCAGCACUAAUGCACCGGAUCCCAUCAGAACUCCGCAGUUAAGCGUGCUUGGGCGAGAGUAGUACUAGGAUGGGUGACCUCCCGGGAAGUCCUCGUGUUGCACCCCUUUUUAUUUUUUAAUUUUUUUUUAGCCUAAAACGAGUCUAAACUUGAAAACCUCAUAACUUUUGAACCGUGAGGAACUACGUCGCCCAUAGCACCAUUUCGGAAGCCCAGAAACCAUAAUGGGCGGUGAAUAGGGGGCGCAAUUUUUCGGGCUCAAAUUCAGCCGUUUUGACCCUCAAACGGGCUGCGGAAAGUUAUGGCACGUAAAAAAGAUCGAAAGCGGAUUCUCAAGGUGUUUUUGAUGCUUUCUUAACGCCGUUAACCUCGAUGCACUUUUUCGCUCGAAACAAAACGGCAAGAAAAUCAUGCGCGCCCCACGGCCUUACACUUGGAUUGGCCGCGAAAAGGAUAUAUAGAAACGAGAGUGAUGUACUGACGGGUGCGAUCAUACCAGCACUAAUGCACCGGAUCCCAUCAGAACUCCGCAGUUAAGCGUGCUUGGGCGAGAGUAGUACUAGGAUGGGUGACCUCCCGGGAAGUCCUCGUGUUGCACCCCUUUUUAUUUUUUAAUUUUUUUUUAGCCUAAAACGAGUCUAAACUUGAAAACCUCAUAACUUUUGAACCGUGAGGAACUACGUCGCCCAUAGCACCAUUUCGGAAGCCCCAGAAACCAUAAUGGGCGGUGAAUAGGGGGCGCAAUUUUUCGGGCUCAAAUUCAGCCGUUUUGACCCUCAAACGGGCUGCGGAAAGUUAUGGCACGUAAAAAAGAUCGAAAGCGGAUUCUCAAGGUUGUUUUGAUGCUUUCUUAACGCCGUUAACCUCGAUGCACUUUUUCGCUCGAAACAAAACGGCAAGAAAAUCAUGCGCGCCCCACGGCCUUACACUUGGAUUGGCCGCGAAAAGGAUAUAUAGAAACGAGAGUGAUGUACUGACGGGUGCGAUCAUACCAGCACUAAUGCACCGGAUCCCAUCAGAACUCCGCAGUUAAGCGUGCUUGGGCGAGAGUAGUACUAGGAUGGGUGACCUCCCGGGAAGUCCUCGUGUUGCACCCCUUUUUAUUUUUUAAUUUUUUUUUAGCCUAAAACGAGUCUAAACUUGAAAACCUCAUAACUUUUGAACCGUGAGGAACUACGUCGCCCAUAGCACCAUUUCGGAAGCCCCAGAAACCAUAAUGGGCGGUGAAUAGGGGGCGCAAUUUUUCGGGCUCAAAUUCAGCCGUUUUGACCCUCAAACGGGCUGCGGAAAGUUAUGGCACGUAAAAAAGAUCGAAAGCGGAUUCUCAAGGUGUUUUUGAUGCUUUCUUAACGCCGUUAACCUCGAUGCACUUUUUCGCUCGAAACAAAACGGCAAGAAAAUCAUGCGCGCCCCACGGCCUUACACUUGGAUUGGCCGCGAAAAGGAUAUAUAGAAACGAGAGUGAUGUACUGACGGGUGCGAUCAUACCAGCACUAAUGCACCGGAUCCCAUCAGAACUCCGCAGUUAAGCGUGCUUGGGCGAGAGUAGUACUAGGAUGGGUGACCUCCCGGGAAGUCCUCGUGUUGCACACCUUUUUAUUUUAUAAUUUUUUUUAGCCUAAAACGAGUCUAAACAUGAAAACCUCAUAAAUUUUGAACCGUGAGGAACUACGUCGCCCAUAGCACCAUUGAAAAAGCCCCAGAAACCAUAAUGGGCGGUGAAUAGGGGGCGCAAUGUUUCGGGCUGAAAUUCAGCCGUUUUGACCCUCAAACGGGCUGCGGAAAGUUAUGGCACGUAAAAAAGAUCGAAAGCGGAUUCUCAAGGUGUUUUUGAUGCUUUCUUAACGCCGUUAACCUCGAUGCACUUUUUCGCUCGAAACAAAACGGCAAGAAAAUCAUGCGCGCCCCACGGCCUUACACUUGGAUUGGCCGCGAAAAGGAUAUAUAGAAACGAGAGUGAUGUACUGACGGGUGCGAUCAUACCAGCACUAAUGCACCGGAUCCCAUCAGAACUCCGCAGUUAAGCGUGCUUGGGCGAGAGUAGUACUAGGAUGGGUGACCUCCCGGGAAGUCCUCGUGUUGCACCCCUUUUUAUUUUUUAAUUUUUUUUUAGCCUAAAACGAGUCUAAACUUGAAAACCUCAUAACUUUUGAACCUUGAGGAACUACGUCGCCCAUAGCACCAUUUCGGAAAGCCCCAUAAAACCAUAAUGGGCGGUGAAUAGGGGGCGCAAUUUUUCGGGCUCAAAUUCAGCCGUUUUGACCCUCAAACGGGCUGCGGAAAGUUAUGGCACGUAAAAAAGAUCGAAAGCGGAUUUUCAAGGUGUUUUUGAUGCUUUCUUAACGCCGUUAACCUCGAUGCACUUUUUCGCUCGAAACAAAACGGCAAGAAAAUCAUGCGCGCCCCACGGCCUUACACUUGGAUUGGCCGCGAAAAGGAUAUAUAGAAACGAGAGUGAUGUACUGACGGGUGCGAUCAUACCAGCACUAAUGCACCGGAUCCCAUCAGAACUCCGCAGUUAAGCGUGCUUGGGCGAGAGAGUAGUACUAGGAUGGGUGACCUCCCGGGAAGUCCUCGUGUUGCACCCCUUUUUAUUUUUUAAUUUUUUUUUAGCCUAAAACGAGUCUAAACUUGAAAACCUCAUAACUUUUGAACCGUGAGGAACUACGUCGCCCAUAGCACCAUUUCGGAGAGCCCCAGAAACCAUAAUGGGCGGUGAAUAGGGGGCGCAAUUUUUCGGGCUCAAAUUCAGCCGUUUUGACCCUCAAACGGGCUGCGGAAAGUUAUGGCACGUAAAAAAGAUCGAAAGCGGAUUCUCAAGGUGUUUUUGAUGCUUUCUUAACGCCGUUAACCUCGAUGCACUUUUUCGCUCGAAACAAAACGGCAAAAAAAAUCAUGUGGGCCCCACGGCCUUACACUUGGAUUGGCCGCGAAAAGGAUAUAUAGAAACGAGAGUGAUGUACUGACGGGUGCGAUCAUACCAGCACUAAUGCACCGGAUCCCAUCAGAACUCCGCAGUUAAGCGUGCUUGGGCGAGAGUAGUACUAGGAUGGGUGACCUCCCGGGAAGUCCUCGUGUUGCACCCCUUUUUAUUUUUUAAUUUUUUUUUUUGCCUAAAACGAGUCUAAACUUGAAAACCUCAUAACUUUUGAACCGUGAGGAACUACGUCGCCCAUAGCACCAUUUCGGAAAGCCCCAGAAACCAUAAUGGGCGGUGAAUAGGGGGCGCAAUUUUUCGGGCUCAAAUUCAGCCGUUUUGACCCUCAAACGGGCUGCGGAAAGUUAUGGCACGUAAAAAAGAUCGAAAGCGGAUUCUCAAGGUGUUUUGAUGCUUUCUUAACGCCGUUAACCUCGAUGCACUUUUUCGCUCGAAACAAAACGGCAAGAAAAUCAUGCGCGCCCCACGGCCUUACACUUGGAUUGGCCGCGAAAAGGAUAUAUAGAAACGAGAGUGAUGUACUGACGGGUGCGAUCAUACCAGCACUAAUGCACCGGAUCCCAUCAGAACUCCGCAGUUAAGCGUGCUUGGGCGAGAGUAGUACUAGGAUGGGUGACCUCCCGGGAAGUCCUUGUGUUGCACCCCUUUUAAUUUUUUAAUUUUUUUUUAGCCUAAAACGAGUCUAAACUUGAAAACCUCAUAACUUUUGAACCGUGAGGAACUACGUCGCCCAUAGCACCAUUUCGGAGAGCCCCAGAAACCAUAAUGGGCGGUGAAUAGGGGCGCAAUUUUUCGGGCUCAAAUUCAGCCGUUUUGACCCUCAAACGGGCUGCGGAAAGUUAUGGCACGUAAAAAAGAUCGAAAGCGGAUUCUCAAGGUGCUUUUGAUGCUUUCUUAACGCCGUUAACCUCGAUGCACUUUUUCGCUCGAAACAAAACGGCAAGAAAAUCAUGCGCGCCCCACGGCCUUACACUUGGAUUGGCCGCGAAAAGGAUAUAUAGAAACGAGAGUGAUGUACUGACGGGUGCGAUCAUACCAGCACUAAUGCACCGGAUCCCAUCAGAACUCCGCAGUUAAGCGUGCUUGGGCGAGAGUAGUACUAGGAUGGGUGACCUCCCGGGAAGUCCUCGUGUUGCACCCCUUUUAUUUUUUAAUUUUUUUUUGCCUAAAACGAGUCUAAACUUGAAAACCUCAUAACUUUUGAACCGUGAGGAACUACGUCGCCCAUAGCACCAUUUCGGAGAGCCCCAGAAACCAUAAUGGGCGGUGAAUAGGGGGCGCAAUUUUUCGGGCUCAAAUUCAGCCGUUUUGACCCUCAAACGGGCUGCGGGGAAAGUUAUGGCACGUAAAAAAGAUCGAAAGCGGAUUCUCAAGGUGCUUUUGAUGCUUUCUUAACGCCGUUAACCUCGAUGCACUUUUUCGCUCGAAACAAAACGGCAAGAAAAUCAUGCGCGCCCCACGGCCUUACACUUGGAUUGGCCGCGAAAAGGAUAUAUAGAAACGAGAGUGAUGUACUGACGGGUGCGAUCAUACCAGCACUAAUGCACCGGAUCCCAUCAGAACUCCGCAGUAAGCGUGCUUGGGCGAGAGUAGUACUAGGAUGGGUGACCUCCCGGGAAGUCCUCGUGUUGCACCCCUUUUUAUUUUUUAAUUUUUUUUUAGCCUAAAACGAGUCUAAACUUGAAAACCUCAUAACUUUUGAACCGUGAGGAACUACGUCGCCCAUAGCACCAUUUCGGAAAGCCCCAGAAACCAUAAUGGGCGGUGAAUAGGGGGCGCAAUUUUUCGGGCUCAAAUUCAGCCGUUUUGACCCUCAGACGGGCUGCGGAAAGUUAUGGCACGUAAAAAAGAUCGAAAGCGGAUUCUCAAGUGUUUUGUGUGCUUUCUUAACGCCGUUAACCUCGAUGCACUUUUUCGCUCGAAACAAAACGGCAAGAAAAUCAUGCGCGCCCCACGGCCUUACACUUGGAUUGGCCGCGAAAAGGAUAUAUAGAAACGAGAGUGAUGUACUGACGGGUGCGAUCAUACCAGCACUAAUGCACCGGAUCCCAUCAGAACUCCGCAGUUAAGCGUGCUUGGGCGAGAGUAGUACUAGGAUGGGUGACCUCCCGGGAAGUCCUCGUGUUGCACCCCUUUUUUUUUUUAAUUUUUUUUUAGCCUAAAACGAGUCUAAACUUGAAAACCUCAUAACUUUUGAACCGUGAGGAACUACGUCGCCCAUAGCACCAUUUCGGAAAGCCCCAGAAACCAUAAUGGGCGGUGAAUAGGGGGCGCAAUUUUUCGGGCUCAAAUUCAGCCGUUUUGACCCUCAAACGGGCUGCGGAAAGUUAUGGCACGUAAAAAAGAUCGAACUAUGGAUUCUGAAGGUGUUUUUGAUGCUUUCUUAACGCCGUUAACCUCGAUGCACUUUUUCGCUCGAAACAAAACGGCAAGAAAAUCAUGCGCGCCCCACGGCCUUACACUUGGAUUGGCCGCGAAAAGGAUAUAUAGAAACAAGAGUGAUGUACUGUCGGGUGCGAUCAUACCAGCACUAAUGCACCGGAUCCCAUCAGAACUCCGCAGUUAAGCGUGCUUGGGCGAGAGUAGUACUAGGAUGGGUGACCUCCCGGGAAGUCCUCGUGUUGCACCCCUUUUUUUUUUUAAUUUUUUUUUGCCUAAAACGAGUCUAAACUGAAAACCCAUAACUUUUGAACCGUGAGGAACUACGUCGCCCAUAGCACCAUUUCGGAAGAGCCCCAGAAACCAUAAUGGGCGGUGAAUAGGGGGCGCAAUUUUUCGGGCUCAAAUUCAGCCGUUUUGACCCUCAAACGGGCUGCGGAAAGUUAUGGCACGUAAAAAAGAUCGAAAGCGGAUUCUCAAGGUGUUUUUGAUGCUUUCUUAACGCCGUUAACCUCGAUGCACUUUUUUUCGCUCGAAACAAAACGGCAAGAAAAUCAUGCGCGCCCCACGGCCUUACACUUGGAUUGGCCGCGAAAAGGAUAUAUAGAAACGAGAGUGAUGUACUGACGGGUGCGAUCAUACCAGCACUAAUGCACCGGAUCCCAUCAGAACUCCGCAGUCAAGCGUGCUUGGGCGAGAGUAGUACUAGGAUGGGUGACCUCCCGGGAAGUCCUCGUGUUGCACCCCUUUUUAUUUUUUUAAUUUUUUUUUAGCCUAAAACGAGUCUAAACUUGAAAACCUCAUAACUUUUGAACCGUGAGGAACUACGUCGCCCAUAGCACCAUUUCGGAGAGCCCCAGAAACCAUAAUGGGCGGUGAAUAGGGGGCGCAAUUUUUCGGGCUCAAAUUCAGCCGUUUUGACCCUCAAACGGGCUGCGGAAAGUUAUGGCACGUAAAAAAGAUCGAAAGCGGAUUCUCAAGUGUUUUUGAUGCUUUCUUAACGCCGUUAACCUCGAUGCACUUUUUCGCUCGAAACAAAACGGCAAGAAAAUCAUGCGCGCCCCACGGCCUUACACUUGGAUUGGCGCGAAAAGGAUAUAUAGAAACGAGAGUGAUGUACUGACGGGUGCGAUCAUACCAGCACUAAUGCACCGGAUCCCAUCAGAACUCCGCAGUUAAGCGUGCUUGGGCGAGAGUAGUACUAGGAUGGGUGACCUCCCGGGAAGUCCUCGUGUGUUGCACCCCUUUUUAUUUUUAAUUUUUUUUAGCCUAAAACGAGUCUAAACUUGAAAACCUCAUAACUUUUGAACCGUGAGGAACUACGUCGCCCAUAGCACCAUUUCGGAAAGCCCCAGAAACCAUAAUGGGCGGUGAAUAGGGGGCGCAAUUUUUCGGGCUCAAAUUCAGCCGUUUUGACCCUCAAACGGGCUGCGGAAAGUUAUGGCACGUAAAAAAGAUCGAAAGCGGAUUCUCAAGGUGUUUUUGAUGCUUUCUUAACGCCGUUAACCUCGAUGCACUUUUUCGCUCGAAACAAAACGGCAAGAAAAUCAUGCGCGCCCACGGCCUUACACUUGGAUUGGCCGCGAAAAGGAUAUAUAGAAAGAAACGAGUGAUGUACUGACGGGUGCGAUCAUACCAGCACUAAUGCACCGGAUCCCAUCAGAACUCCGCAGUUAAGCGUGCUUGGGCGAGAGUAGUACUAGGAUGGGUGACCUCCCGGGAAGUCCUCGUGUUGCACCCCUUUUUAUUUUUUAAUUUUUUUUUAGCCUAAACGAGUCUAAACUUGAAAACCUCAUAACUUUUGAACCGUGAGGAACUACGUCGCCCAUAGCACCAUUUCGGAAAGCCCCAGAAACCAUAAUGGGCGGGUGAAUAGGGGGCGCAAUUUUUCGGGCUCAAAUUCAGCCGUUUUGACCCUCAAACGGGCUGCGGAAAGUUAUGGCACGUAAAAAAGAUCGAAAGCGGAUUCUCAAGGUGUUUUGAUGCUUUCUUAACGCCGUUAACCUCGAUGCACUUUUUCGCUCGAAACAAACGGCAAGAAAAUCAUGCGCGCCCCACGGCCUUACACUUGGAUUGGCCGCGAAAAGGAUAUAUAGAAACGAGAGUGAUGUACUGACGGGUGCGAUCAUACCAGCACUAAUGCACCGGAUCCAUCAGAACUCCGCAGUUAAGCGUGCUUGGGCGAGAGUAGUACUAGGAUGGGUGACCUCCCGGGAAGUCCUCGUGUUGCACCCCUUUUUAUUUUUUAAUUUUUUUUUAGCCUAAAACGAGUCUAAACUUGAAAACCCCAUAACUUUUGAACCGUGAGGAACUACGUCGCCCAUAGCACCAUUUCGGAAAGCCCCAGAAACCAUAAUGGGCGGUGAAUAGGGGGCGCAAUUUUUCGGGCUCAAAUUCAGCCGUUUUGACCCUCAAACGGGCUGCGGAAAGUUAUGGCAGAAAAAAAAAGACCGAAAGCGGAUUUUCAAGGUGUUUUUGAUGCUUUCUUAACGCCGUUAACCUCGAUGCACUUUUUCGCUCGAAACAAAACGGCAAGAAAAUCAUGCGCGCCCCACGGCCUUACACUUGGAUUGGCCGCGAAAAGGAUAUAUAGAAACGAGAGUGAUGUACUGUCGGGUGCGAUCAUACCAGCACUAAUGCACCGGAUCCCAUCAGAACUCCGCAGUUAAGCGUGCUUGGGCGAGAGUAGUACUAGGAUGGGUGACCUCCCGGGAAGUCCUCGUGUUGCACCCCUUUUUAUUUUUUAAUUUUUUUAGCCUAAAACGAGUCUAAACUUGAAAACCUCAUAACUUUUGAACCGUGAGGAACUACGUCGCCCAUAGCACCAUUUCGGAAAGCCCCAGAAACCAUAAUGGGCGGUGAAUAGGGGGCGCAAUUUUCGGGCUCAAAUUCAGCCGUUUUGACCCUCAAACGGGCUGCGGAAAGUUAUGGCACGUAAAAAAGAUCGAAAGCGGAUUCUCAAGGUGUUUUUAAUGCUUUCUUAACGCCGUUAACCUCGAUGCACUUUUUCGCUCGAAACAAAACGGCAAGAAAUCAUGCGCGCCCCACGGCCUUACACUUGGAUUGGCCGCGAAAAGGAUAUAUAGAAACGAGAGUGAUGUACUGACGGGUGCGAUCAUACCAGCACUAAUGCACCGGAUCCCAUCAGAACUCCGCAGUUAAGCGUGCUUGGGCGAGAGUAGUAGUACUAGGAUGGGUGACCUCCCGGGAAGUCCUCGUGUUGCACCCCUUUUAUUUUUUAAUUUUUUUUUGCCUAAAACGAGUCUAAACUUGAAAAACCUCAUAACUUUUGAACCGUGAGGAACUACGUCGCCCAUAGCACCAUUUCGGAAAGCCCCAGAAACCAUAAUGGGCGGUGAGGUGAAUAGGGGGCGCAAUUUUUCGGGCUCAAAUUCAGCCGUUUGACCCUCAAACGGGCUGCGGGCGGAAAGUUAUGGCACGUAAAAAAGAUCGAAAGCGGAUUCUCAAGGUGUUUUUGAUGCUUUCUAACGCCGUUAACCUCGAUGCACUUUUUCGCUCGAAACAAAACGGCAAGAAAAUCAUGCGGCCCCACGGCCUUACACUUGGAUUGGCCGCGAAAAGGAUAUAUAGAAACGAGAGUGAUGUACUGACGGGUGCGAUCAUACCAGCACUAAUGCACGGAUCCCAUCAGAACUCCGCAGUUAAGCGUGCUUGGGCGAGAGUAGUACUAGGAUGGGGACCUCCCGGGAAGUCCUCGUGUUGCACCCCUUUUUAUUUUUUAAUUUUUUUUUAGCCUAAAACGAGUCUAAACUUGAAAACCUCAUAACUUUUGAACCGUGAGGAACUACGUCGCCCAUAGCACCAUUUCGGAAAGCCCCAGAAACCAUAAUGGCGGGUGAUGAAGGGGCGCAAUUUUCGGGCUCAAAUUCAGCCGUUUUGACCCUCAAACGGGCUGCGGAAAGUUAUGGCACGUAAAAAAGAUCGAAAGCGGAUUCUCAAGGUGUUUUUGAUGCUUUCUUAACGCCGUUAACCUCGAUGCACUUUUUCGCUCGAAACAAAACGGCAAGAAAAUCAUGCGCGCCCCCACGGCCUUACACUUGGAUUGGCCGCGCGAAAAGGAUAUAUAGAAACGAGAGUGAUGUACUGUCGGGUGCGAUCAUACCAGCACUAAUGCACCGGAUCCCAUCAGAACUCCGCAGUUAAGCGUGCUUGGGCGAGAGUAGUACUAGGAUGGGUGACCUCCCGGGAAGUCCUCGUGUUGCACCCCUUUUUAUUUUUUAAUUUUUUUUAGCCUAAAACGAGUAUAAACUUGAAAACCUGAAACUUUUGAACCGUGAGGAACUACGUCGCCCAUAGCACCAUUUCGGAGAGCCCCAGAAACCAUAAUGGGCGGUGAAUAGGGGGCGCAAUUUUUCGGGCUCAAAUUCAGCCGUUUUGACCCUCAAACGGGCUGCGGAAAGUUAUGGCACGUAAAAAAGAUCGAAAGCGGAUUCUCAAGGUGUUUUUGAUGCUUUCUUAACGCCGUUAACCUCGAUGCACUUUUUCGCUCGAAACAAAACGGCAAAAAAAAUCAUGUGGGCCCCACGGCCUUACACUUGGAUUGGCCGGGGAAAGGAUAUAUAGAAACGAGAGUGAUGUACUGACGGGUGCGAUCAUACCAGCACUAAUGCACCGGAUCCCAUCAGAACUCCGCAGUGAAGCGUGCUUGGGCGAGAGUAGUAUUAGGAUGGGUGACCUCCCGGGAAGUCCUCGUGUUGCACCCCUUUUUAUUUUAUAAUUUUUUUUUAGCCUAAAACGAGUCUAAACUUGAAAACCUCAUAACUUUUGAACCGUGAGGAACUACGUCGCCCAUAGCACCAUUUCGGAAAGCCCCAGAAACCAUAAUGGUGGUGCGGUGAAUAGGGGGCAAUCGCAAUUUUUCGGGCUCAAAUUCAGCCGUUUUGACCCUCAAACGGGCUGCGGAAAGUUAUGGCACGUAAAAAAGAUCGAAAGCGGAUUCUCAAGGUGUUUUUGAUGCUUUCUUAACGCCGUUAACCUCGAUGCACUUUUUCGCUCGAAACAAAACGGCAAGAAAAUCAUGCGCGCCCCCACGGCCUUACACUUGGAUUGGCCGCGAAAAGGAUAUAUAGAAACGAGAGUGAUGUACUGACGGGUGCGAUCAUACCAGCACUAAUGCACCGGAUCCCAUCAGAACUCAGCAGUUAAGCGUGCUUGGGCGAGAGUAGUACUAGGAUGGGUGACCUCCCGGGAAGUCCUG